RNAcentral lists this ribosomal RNA (502 nucleotides) under uncultured bacterium. RNAcentral's name for it is "partial 16S ribosomal RNA". It matches the Rfam family "Bacterial small subunit ribosomal RNA", at positions 29 to 523 of the family's 1533-position model. The record is from RNAcentral.
AUUGAACGCUGGCGGAAUGCUUUACACAUGCAAGUCGAACGGCAGCAUGGGUGCUUGCACCUGGUGGCGAGUGGCGAACGGGUGAGCAAUACAUCGGAACGUACCCAGUCGUGGGGGAUAACGUAGCGAAAGUUACGCUAAUACCGCAUACGUCCUGAGGGAGAAAGCGGGGGACCGUAAGGCCUCGCGCGAUUGGAGCGGCCGAUGGCGGAUUAGCUAGUUGGUGGGGUAAAGGCCUACCAAGGCGACGAUCCGUAGCGGGUCUGAGAGGACGGCCCGCCACACUGGAACUGAGACACGGUCCAGACUCCUACGGGAGGCAGCAGUGGGGAAUUUUGGACAAUGGGCGAAAGCCUGAUCCAGCCAUUCCGCGUGAGUGAAGAAGGCCUUCGGGUUGUAAAGCUCUUUCGGCAGGGAAGAAACGGCUUGGGAUAAUACCCCGGGCUAAUGACGGUACCUGAGGAAGAAGCACCGGCUAACUACGUGCCAGCCGCCGCGGUAA